AUAAGGAGUUGGACCUGCCCAGUGAAAAUUUUCAACGGCCGCGGUACUCUGACCGUGCAAAGGUAGCAUAAUCAUUUGCCUUAUAAUUGAAGGCUAGUAUGAAUGGUUUGACAAGAAUAUAACUGUCUCUUUAUGAUUUAUUAGAAUUUUAUUUUAAGGUGAAGAAGCCUUAAUUAAAUUAAUAGACAAGAAGACCCUGUCGAGCUUUAAAAAACUUGAUAGAAUUAAUAUAAUUGAAGGAAAAAUUUAACUAUCAAAAAUUUUAGUUGGGGCGACUAAGGAACAAAUAGAGCUUCCUUUAUUACUUUAAAAUACAUGUAUUUAGAUCCAGAAAUUUUGAUUAAAAAAAUUAGUUACCGCAGGGAUAACAGCAUUAUCUUUUUUAAGAGUUCAUAUCGAAAAAAAGGUUUGUGACCUCGAUGUUGGACCAGAAUAUCCUAAAGAUGUAGAAGUCUUUAAGGGUUGGUCUGUUCGACCAUUAAAAUUCUA
RNAcentral lists this ribosomal RNA (489 nucleotides) under Splendrillia sp. MNHN 17847. RNAcentral describes it as "partial 16S ribosomal RNA". It matches the Rfam family "Bacterial large subunit ribosomal RNA", at positions 1845 to 2598 of the family's 2925-position model. Lineage: Eukaryota; Metazoa; Mollusca; Gastropoda; Neogastropoda; Drilliidae. The record is from RNAcentral.